Molecule: ribosomal RNA, 489 nt
Filed under: uncultured bacterium
Lineage: Bacteria
Description: bacterial SSU rRNA
Rfam family: Bacterial small subunit ribosomal RNA
Source: RNAcentral
AGUGAACGCUGGCGGCAGGCCUAAUACAUGCAAGUCGAACGGCAGCACAGCAGAGCUUGCUCUGUGGGUGGCGAGUGGCGGACGGGUGAGGAAUACAUGGGAAUCUGCCCAGUCGUGGGGGAUAACGUAUGGAAACGUACGCUAAUACCGCAUGCGCCCUAAGGGGGAAAGCCGGGGACCGCAAGGCCUGGCGCGAUUGGAUGAGCCCAUGUUCGAUUAGCUAGUUGGCGGGGUAAAGGCCCACCAAGGCGACGAUCGAUAGCUGGUCUGAGAGGAUGAUCAGCCACACUGGAACUGAGACACGGUCCAGACUCCUACGGGAGGCAGCAGUAGGGAAUAUUGGACAAUGGGGGCAACCCUGAUCCAGCCAUGCCGCGUGAGUGAAGAAGGCCUCGGGUUGUAAAGCUCUUUGUCCGGAAAGAAAGCAAUCGGUUAAUACCCGGUUGUCCUGACGGUACCGGAAGAAUAAGCACCGGCUAACUUCGUGCC